ACGUAACCGGCUGCUGCAGCUCGGGGCCCCUCCAACUUAGGGCAUUUGCAACAGAAACUACUCCGGACGCGCGCCAAGGGAGGGGCUUGUGCCUGCAAAGCUGGACGCUCAGCCAGGGCCAUUCUGCAUGUGUGCAAUAAGUUUCAAGAGAAAUACAAAAGGAAGCUGCAUCUUCUUACCAAACGCAAACCCAUGCAGCAGAAACUACACAGAGCAAACCUGAGACUGAAUUGAAGUUAACUACUCUCUGAGAAGGACCAAUGUCACAGUUGUGAAGAGAGACAGCCUGGCACCUGAAGGAGAAAGAUGGAAGGAAUGGCCUCUUGCCCUGACUUUGCUAUGACCAGCUGUGUGACCUUCGGCAAGUCACUUAACUUCUCUGGGCCUUACCUCAUCUGAAAAAUGAGAAGCCUGAACUAAAUAAAUUCACCCACAUUAGAAUUCUGUGAUUCAGAUUUAAAAAGGCAUAUGUAAAUAUAAACAUAAUUAUGAAAGCAAA
Long non-coding RNA from Cervus elaphus (red deer), 499 nucleotides. RefSeq lists it as uncharacterized. Lineage: Eukaryota; Metazoa; Chordata; Mammalia; Artiodactyla; Cervidae. The transcript has 3 exons. The record is from RefSeq and is a predicted model, not a curated record.